UAGGGAAUCUUCCGCAAUGGGCGAAAGCCUGACGGAGCAACGCCGCGUGAGUGAUGAAGGUCUUCGGAUCGUAAACCUCUGUUAUUAGGGAAGAACAAAUGUGUAAGUAACUAUGCACGUCUUGACGGUACCUAAUCAGAAAGCCACGGCUAACUACGUGCCAGCAGCCGCGGUAAUACGUAGGUGGCAAGCGUUAUCCGGAAUUAUUGGGCGUAAAGCGCGCGUAGGCGGUUUUUUAAGUCUGAUGUGAAAGCCCACGGCUCAACCGUGGAGGGUCAUUGGAAACUGGAAAACUUGAGUGCAGAAGAGGAAAGUGGAAUUCCAUGUGUAGCGGUGAAAUGCGCAGAGAUAUGGAGGAACACCAGUGGCGAAGGCGACUUUCUGGUCUGUAACUGACGCUGAUGUGCGAAAGCGUGGGGAUCAAACAGG
This 429-nucleotide ribosomal RNA is filed under the name Actinomycetes bacterium. RNAcentral describes it as "Actinobacteria bacterium partial 16S ribosomal RNA". It matches the Rfam family "Bacterial small subunit ribosomal RNA", at positions 355 to 776 of the family's 1533-position model. Lineage: Bacteria; Bacillati; Actinomycetota; Actinomycetes. The record is from RNAcentral.